RNAcentral lists this microRNA precursor (98 nucleotides) under Equus caballus (horse). RNAcentral describes it as "mir-544 microRNA precursor family". It matches the Rfam family "mir-544 microRNA precursor family". The record is from Rfam by way of RNAcentral. Lineage: Eukaryota; Metazoa; Chordata; Mammalia; Perissodactyla; Equidae.
UUAACCUGGGGAUCUUGUUAAAGUGCAGAUUCUGAUUCAGUAGAUCUGGGGAGGAACACAAGAUUCUGCAUUUCUAACAAGCUCCUAGGUGUGGCCCA